Molecule: long non-coding RNA, 1158 nt
Filed under: Castor canadensis (American beaver)
Lineage: Eukaryota; Metazoa; Chordata; Mammalia; Rodentia; Castoridae
Description: lncRNA (ENSCCNG00000029000.1)
Source: RNAcentral
CUUGGGAACUAACAAGUUCCUGGUCACACUAGGACAAUACGUGCUCCUAUCCAGCUGGAACCUAAUUCUUGGCUCUAAUUCUGCCUCUCCCAACCCCAGAGUCCUGGAUGCCUGCUGUGGACAGGCACAUGGAUUGCACGACUCAUUUGACCCUGGGGGCUUCCCUUGGAGGGAGACUCCUGCUCAUGGGUGAGGACACGCUGUGGCCACAACUGCCUGGACUGCAGCCCAGUGAGAUGCUCAGCAGACGGCUCCUGAGCUGUGCCUGGACUUAGGACCUAGCAUCUCUGAGACAAUAGUCGUGGUACUUGAAGUGACCGAAGGUGUGGUCCCUUGUGAGCUUGGGCAUCUGGUAGGUGCAAGUGAGGACCUGGCUCUGCUCUCGCUCUGGAUGGCGUGGUAAGGCCGUUGACUCUGCCCCACCACAUUCAACUGGGUAUAAUGGCAGAGCCCUCCAGGGUUGAUGUUGAGAUGAAACGGGAAAUUUGUGGACAGUCCAGUGCAGUCCUGGUUCUGGGGACAGGAGUAGGCAUCUUGUAGUCACUGGAGCAAUGGUGGAGAAGCCAAGCCAGUUCUCUCCCUUCAAAGCCAGGUCAGCCCUGUGGAGGGCAGGCAGGGCCUGCCAGGUGUGAUCUGGCUGACUUGGGGCAGGAUGGCCUCUGUUACCUGGUCAGGAAGACACAUCACUCCCAUGUUUCUCCAAAUGUCAGCUCAGACCUAGUGCACACCCAGACUCACGGCCCACUGCUCUGGAUAUUGACCUGGCCCCUGACAUGGGACAAGAAGGAAACAGUUGGGUAGGAGAAAUGGCAGGUGACACUUUCCCAAGUAAGUCCAUGGAUUGAUUCACUUGAGAUAAGCCCUGGGGGCUAUGUCUCCAGGGUCACCUUCCUCUCAGGGUUGUCUCCCUGCCAGUGAGUAACUGUUGUAGGCACCUAGGGAUGGAAGUUAACUGCGGGAGGUCCCUCCUGAGGACAGGCUGAGCUCUGUCCCUGAAUCCCACACAUAUGGCUCCUUGUUGUAGCUCCUGGCCCGUGGCUGGCUGAUUUGAAGGCCCAUCUUCAGUGGAGCUCCCAGGGAUGGUGGGUGGAUGGGAAGCAGGAGCUCUUGCUUUCCUUUGACCUUUGUUCCAGAAGCUUGGGCAGGGCUGGCCUGUUU